GGUCAAGUUAUUAAGGGUUUACGGUGGAUGCCUUGGGGCCAAGAGCCGACGAAGGGCGUAGCAAGACUGCGAAAAUCCUCGGUCAGCUGUCUAGCAAGCUUAGCCGAGGGUACCCGAAUGGGGAAACCCGUCCUGGGUUAUACCAGGACAUUCCGUUAAGGAAAGGUAAGUAUGUGAACUGAAACAUCUAAGUAACAUGAGGAACAGAAAUCUAAAGAGAUUCCCUUAGUAGUGGCGAACGAACGGGGAAUAGCCCAAACCGCACGGGCUCAGUGGAAUGAGGUCCUAUGUCCGAGCGGGGUUGUAACACGUACCCCCCCUAACCUCGAAUGAGGGGAGGAAGUUACAAAAUCUUUUUCUAGCCAAACGCACCUGGAAAGGACGACCAUAGAAGGUGAUAGUCCUGUAGGCGAAAGAAAAAGAACUUCCGGAACGUUGUUGAGUACCACGGAACACGAGAAAUUUUGUGGGAAACUGGGGAGACCACUCUCCAAGGCUAAAUACUCUUGGCCACCGAUAGUGAACCAGUACUGUGAAGGAAAGGUGAAAAGUACCCCGGGAGGGGAGUGAAAUAGACCUGAAACCGUAAACUUACAAGCCGUAGAAGGCUCGAUGCGUCGGGCUGACUGCGUGCCUAUUGAAGAAUGAACCGGCGAGUUAAUUUAUACAGCACGGUUAAGGAAUUGGAAUUCCGGAGCCAAAGCGAAAGCGAGUCCUAAUAGGGCGUACAGUUGUUUGGAUUAGACCCGAAACCGAGUGAGCUACCCAUGGCCAGGUUGAAGCCCAGAUAGUCUCUGGGUGAAGGACCGAACCCGUGUAUGUUGCAAAAUGCUGGGAUGAGCUGUGGGUAGGGGUAAAAUGCCAAUCGAACUCGGAGAUAGCUGGUUCUCCCCGAAAUGUAUUUAGGUACAGCGUUUAGAUAGUCUUGUGGAGGUAGGGCACUGGAUAGGUACGGGGGCGUAAGCCUACCAAACUUAACCAAACCACGAAUGCCGCAAGAUGUUUCUAGGCAGUGAGACAGUGGGGGAUAAGCUCCAUUGUCGAGAGGGAAACAGCCCAGAUCGCAGGCUAAGGUCCCCAAGUGUGUGCUAAGUGUGAAACGAAGUGAGAUUGCUAAAACAGCUAGGAG
RNAcentral lists this ribosomal RNA (1129 nucleotides) under Chloroflexota bacterium. RNAcentral's name for it is "bacterial LSU rRNA". It matches the Rfam family "Bacterial large subunit ribosomal RNA", at positions 1 to 1099 of the family's 2925-position model. Lineage: Bacteria; Bacillati; Chloroflexota. The record is from RNAcentral.